GCCAGCAUGGUGUAGUGGUUUCAGCGUUGGACUAUGACUCUGGAGACCAGGGUUCGAUUCCCUGCUUGGCC
RNAcentral lists this transfer RNA (71 nucleotides) under Phrynosoma platyrhinos (Desert horned lizard). RNAcentral's name for it is "tRNA-OTHER". The record is from RNAcentral. Lineage: Eukaryota; Metazoa; Chordata; Lepidosauria; Squamata; Phrynosomatidae.